Molecule: ribosomal RNA, 468 nt
Filed under: uncultured bacterium
Lineage: Bacteria
Description: partial 16S ribosomal RNA
Rfam family: Bacterial small subunit ribosomal RNA
Source: RNAcentral
GACGAACGCUGGCGGCGUGCUUAACACAUGCAAGUCGAACGCAAAGGCCCUGCUUUUGUGGGGUGCUCGAGUGGCGAACGGGUGAGUAACACGUGAGUAACCUGCCCUUGACUUUGGGAUAACUUCAGGAAACUGGGGCUAAUACCGGAUAGGAGCUCCUGCUGCAUGGUGGGGGUUGGAAAGUUUCGGCGGUUGGGGAUGGACUCGCGGCUUAUCAGCUUGUUGGUGGGGUAGUGGCUUACCAAGGCUUUGACGGGUAGCCGGCCUGAGAGGGUGACCGGCCACAUUGGGACUGAGAUACGGCCCAGACUCCUACGGGAGGCAGCUGUGGGGAAUAUUGCACAAUGGGCGGAAGCCUGAUGCAGCAACGCCGCGUGCGGGAUGACGGCCUUCGGGUUGUAAACCGCUUUCGCCUGUGACGAAGCGUGAGUGACGGUAAUGGGUAAAGAAGCACCGGCUAACUACGUG